This 270-nucleotide ribosomal RNA is filed under the name uncultured archaeon. RNAcentral's name for it is "partial 16S ribosomal RNA". It matches the Rfam family "Archaeal small subunit ribosomal RNA", at positions 477 to 747 of the family's 1478-position model. The record is from RNAcentral.
CUGCAGCCCGAGUGGUGAUCGAUUUUAUUGAGCCUAAAGCGUCCGUAGCCGGACUAGUAAACCCUUGGGUAAAUUGGGCAGCUUAACUGUCCAAAUUCCGAGGGGACUGCUAGUCUUGGGACCGGGAGAGGUCAGAGGUACUCCAGGGGUAGGGGCUAAAUCCUGUAAUCCUUGGGGGACCACCAGUGGCGAAGGCGUCUGACUAGAACGGAUCCGACGGUAAGGGACGAAGCCCUGGGGCGCAAACCGGAUUAGAUACCCGAGUAGUCC